This 314-nucleotide ribosomal RNA is filed under the name uncultured euryarchaeote. Its description in RNAcentral is "bacterial SSU rRNA". It matches the Rfam family "Archaeal small subunit ribosomal RNA", at positions 1030 to 1343 of the family's 1478-position model. Lineage: Archaea; Methanobacteriati; Methanobacteriota. The record is from RNAcentral.
UUAGUCAGGCAACGAGCGAGACCCACGCCCACAGUUGCCAGCGUACUCUCCGGAGUGACGGGUACACUGUGGGGACCGCCGCUGCUAAAGCGGAGGAAGGAAUGGGCAACGGUAGGUCAGUAUGCCCCGAAUAUCCCGGGCUACACGCGAGCUACAAUGGUUGGUACAAUGGGUAUCUACCCCGAAAGGGGAUGGAAAUCUCCUAAAACCAAUCUUAGUCCGGAUUGAGGGCUGCAACUCGCCCUCAUGAAGCUGGAAUCCGUAGUAAUCGCGUUUCAACAGAACGCGGUGAAUACGUCCCUGCUCCUUGCACA